Molecule: ribosomal RNA, 468 nt
Filed under: uncultured bacterium
Lineage: Bacteria
Description: partial 16S ribosomal RNA
Rfam family: Bacterial small subunit ribosomal RNA
Source: RNAcentral
GACGAACGCUGGCGGCGUGCUUAACACAUGCAAGUCGAACGGAAAGGCCCUGCUUUUGUGGGGUGCUCGAGUGGCGAACGGGUGAGUAACACGUGAGUAACCUGCCCUUGACUUUGGGAUAACUUCAGGAAACUGGGGCUAAUACCGGAUAGGAGCUCCUGCUGCAUGGUGGGGGUUGGAAAGUUUCGGCGGUUGGGGAUGGACUCGCGGCUUAUCAGCUUGUUUGUGGGGUAGUGACUUACCAAGGCUUUGACGGGUAGCCGGCCUGAGAGGGUUACCGGCCACAUUGGGACUGAGAUACGGACCAGACUCCUACGGGAGGCAGCAGUGGGGAAUAUUGCACAAUGGGCGGAAGCCUGAUGCAGCAACGCCGCGUGCGGGAUGACGGCCUUCGGGUUAUAAACCGCUUUCGCCUGUGACGAAGCGUGAGUGACGGUAAUGGGUAAAGAAGCACCGGCUAACUACGUG